Molecule: long non-coding RNA, 7213 nt
Organism: Brassica napus (rape)
Lineage: Eukaryota; Viridiplantae; Streptophyta; Magnoliopsida; Brassicales; Brassicaceae
Exons: 2
Source: RefSeq, a predicted model, not a curated record
AUAAGCUGCCAGACUUGAGAAGAAGAAGAGAAAAGAAGACUCUAGAAGAUAUUUUUUUAAACAAUGAAUAUUGUAUUAUAUUGUGUAUGAGACAACUUGCCUUUAAAUGCUUGUAUUCAGAUCUACAAUUAAAUCAAGGAAAAUAUUUUUCUCAUUCUCUCUCUCUCUCUCAAAUUCAAACAUUACUCUAUUUCUUGUUCAUCAUAUUCUUCAUUUUCUCUCAAGAAUAACAAAAAGGUUUAAUUAUGUUCGACAAACUCAUAUAUAAAACAAUAGAAAACACAGGGAAAAGAGCUAAUUAGUUAACAAAAAUAUAAAACGAAAUUAGAAAAAGGAUUAACGAUCAACAUAAAAAGAUCUUUACAAUAUAUCAAAAUCAUCAUCAUCAGAAGAAGAAGAAGAAGAAGAAGAAGAAGAAGAAGAAGAAGAAGAAGAAGAAGAAGAAGAAGAAGAAGAAGAAGAAGAAGAAGAAGAAGUUUACAAAAAAAAAAAAAAAAUCAUCAGAAGAACCAAGAGUAGAACCCACAAUCUUUUUAACUUACACGCUAGAAAUCUGUCAUAUUCAUAUGCAAAGCGUCUUUCCUUUUGUGUCCAAUUUGAUGCGACAUAACACAAAAACCUUCAACAAAAAAAUCUCUAUUAGACACACCAAUCCCAAAAUCGAAUAAAACAAUAAACGUAUAGGGGCUAUAGGUAAGACUAUAAAAGGGAAGAGGGAAUGUUUUUCAUGUUUUUGUAUCUCUGACUGAUGGAUCCGUUUUCAGAACAAUUCUAAUCUAUUUGUAUUGGUUCUUAAAAAUAAAUCAACUCUAAAUAGUGUUUAAGUUUUACUAUAAUCAUUUAUUAAGAGUAAAAUGAACUGAUGAACCAAAUAUAUGAAAUAAUAAAAAUGGUUAUUUUAUUUUUAGAAUGGUUUGAUUUUUUAUUCAGUUUUAGAGCUAAAAUCAAAUAGAUUUGAAAAAGAUUUUACUCAAAGAAAUUGAGUUGAAAAUAUAAUGGGAUUAGAGAUGCUUUGAAAUGAUAGACUUAUUCAAUAUAUAUAUUUCAUUAAUUCUAUAUAUCUAUAAGCUGUAGAUUGUUUAUUAAGUUUUUAAAAUUUAUCGUGCAUGGCGUAGGAGCAAUGACGUAAAGAUGAUGACGCAGAGGAGAAUCCUCUGAUAAGGAUUCGAACUUUAAACUUUAAUUUUAAGCAUGUGGUUCAAAACUCGGAAGGCAGGACCAUAUAAAGUUCAUAUUGUCUCGCCAUGCACUGCUCCUAUAAGGCUACACACGUAUGUACAUGUCUGGUCUAAUACUUUGGAGAUCCAUUUUUAUUUUAUUUUGAUUCAAUGUAUCGCAUAGUCUUUGCUUAAGGCCUGUGAUAUUCCCUCUACAGGGAUAUCUUGUUAUCGAAAACUUCAAAUUCAAAAGAUCUUAACAUUAACAUAUAAAUAGUAAUGAUUAUACUGUAAACAAUCCAGCAGGCUCAGCCAAUUGAGCAUCCUGACUUGAAUAAAAAUAUAUUCAGUUCUAAGAUCUUGUUACACUAUAUACAUAUAACUUUACAAACGGUGAAUGUGUGUCAUCUGAUCUUAUGGAAAGACUCUUGGUCUAAGAGGAGGUUUACUUAAGCCUAAAGUUGAUCAUGUGGAAGUCACGUGUGUGGGCUUCUUUGGUUACAUUCAAGUGAGGUCAUAAGGGUCAUUAUCUUCGGCUGGAUAUUCUAGGUUUUGAGAUCAUCGUCCAUCGUGACGAUCGUAAGAGCAUGAUUAACCACAAAUCCAAUUAGAGUUGCUUAAUGAUUAUUUUAGUAUAUAAUUGUUGAUAAGCACUUUAGAUAAGAAACACCCAAAUUUUGUGCUUCAAUGCUAGUUGCUUAUCUAAAGGUUCUUAAAAAAAUUACUUUGGGUUAAAAUUGCACAAUUGAAAGAUUAGGGGUCAAUUAGAAAGGCCUGUUCUGCAAAUCUUAUAGUUUUGGGGUCAAAAAAUAAUUAUCCAAAGACAAAGGAUCGGACUUGAAAAUAAGCCAAGAAUGGCCAUUGGAGCUCACGAGCUUUCUCUCCCGGAUCUGGAGCACAAUGGUGGAGGAUCCGGCGACGGAAAAGCUUCAUUCCAUGGCGGAGGAGAGCUGAGACGGGUUACCUGGAUCGAAGGAUAGGAGACGAGCUGCAGAGGGCCUACGAUGACGUCUCUGUAGCAGCGGAACAUGUCGGAGAUGGAGUUCUUGACCUUGGGCUGGAUCUUGUACCGAUCGAACCAGGCGGAUCGAGCCAACUCGACGAAGACGAGAGGGAGAGGAUCGAGCCAAUUCGACCAAGAUCCAACACCUGUCCCACAAGCACCCGGUUCUUCUACCUCCUCUUUAAGCACCGCUUUUCACAUUUAUCCCAUUUUUCUUUUUUUUUUUAAAUCUUUAUUAAGCUAAGCAUUCCCCCUAAGCACCCUGGUUGAAGAUGGUCUAACAGAAUGUGAGGAGAGGUCAAGAUGAGAUGAGAGAGCGAGAGCAAUAGAUGAGAGUGAGCUAGAGAGAAAUGUGAUUCUCGGUUUAUCUAAGCUCAGAGCUUGUUCUUCUUCCUCUAUUAUACUUGUUGUAACUAGGAUUAGAUGUAAUCGGAAAAGAGGAAGAAGAGGAGAGAAACGUCCGGUGAAGUACACUGUAAUCACAACGUUUAUAGUGGAUUGGCUGAGAGACCGUUUCUCUCUCCGGUGAUGUAUAGCGGCUUCUCCACAUCGGAGAAGUGCGGUGAACACCGGGUAAACAAAGUCUCAUGUGUUCUUUAUUUCUUUCUUGCUUGAUUCCUCGAUUGAUUAGAUCCAGUUAGGCUUGAGGUGAUUAUUGAACUGAGCCAAGAUUAUAGGAUGAAUCCUCAACAAGUGGUAUCAAAGCCUCGGUUUAGGGCGAUUCAGGGAUUCAUCGGAAACGGAUCAAGAUCGGUUCUGAAGGAGAAUCAGAGAAGGGUCGGAGGAGUUGAAGUUUUGAUCGCACUGUUGUUCGAGACUGAAGAAUCUGCAGAUGUUGCAAGAUAUGCAAUGUCCAGUGUAAAGAAAGAAGAAGACGACGUCUGUUUGUGGAAGACGACGACGUCCGAGACGGAGGAAAGAAAAGGAAGAUGCAAUCAGAGCGGAUGGUUUCUGAUUUUGUGAAAUCAUAUGGUUCAGGGACGGCAUAUCAUUGACGUCUCGCAUACCAGCGGCGUUUCAGGGACGGGGACGGCGCGGGGACGGUGUGGGAACGUUUCCGAAACGUUUCAGAGAGGCUGGGGACGACAAAGGUUUCUGGGGACGGCAUGGUUAGGUUUUGGAAACGUUUCCGAAACGUUUAGGAUGUAUAGUCGGCAUAAUUUUGUAAAAGUUUGAUUAUUUACUUUUUCAUACUCUUUUUAUUUGGAUAACAAUUGAAAAAAAAAGAAACACGUCUUGUAUAAAACAAUUAGGGUUAUAAACUUUUAAUCCAUCUUCUCUUACUCUUAAUCAAGCUCUUAUUCUUCUUCUUUCUCACAUCUAAGAAAAACACAGUAAGCAUAUCACAAACUCUGGUUUUGGUUUUUCAAUGCUCACGUAAAAGAAAGUCUUAGACAAGAUUAAUAUUAGAUAGUAUUUGGUUUGUUUCAUGUACGUAUGUGUUUUGGUUUGUACGUAAAAGAAGAGUAUUAGACUUCUUUAUGUUUAUGUUUUUCUUACGUGUGUUGUUUAUAUAAUACAAGCUUCUCACAAUUUUUUUUUCUUUAAGAUAUUAUAGUGAUUUUUUAUUUUAUUUAAGAUAUUAUUAUGGUGUUUUAUUUUAUAUGAGAUUUAUGCUUUGGUUUUAAUAUUCAUAUAUACACAUUUAUAUAUAUACAUAUAUAUAUAUAGACGUACCCAUGCCGUAUCCGUAUCUAUAAAUUUUAGAUUUAGCCGUUUCCCGUUCCCGCCCCCGUCCCUGUAUCUGUCCCCGUAUCCGUCCCGGUGCAACAUAGGUGUUCACAAGACUGAAGUGUAAAGAAUCAGAUGAAUCGGAUAUGUGAUGUUGUCCUGCAGUUCUGAAACUAUUUUGAUGCUGGUUGUUUGAGGUGGAUGUUAUCUCAGGUUACAGAUCAGGUCAAGGUUAGGUAAACAUAAGGGAUGAAAUCUUGGUGGAUCACAGGGAAAUGUAUGGUAUCUUUGCGAAGAAUGAUCAAGACUCAGAUUUGGUGUCAGAUCGUGUUUUGUUCAGCUCGUUUGUGUGGUUUCAGAAUGUUCAAAAGAAUGGCAGUUGUGAUGCUUAUUAAUCUCAUGGUUAAGGGACGCCUUAGGAGUGAGAUGGUAUGUGUGUGUCAAAGGCUGUUCUGGAUAUUAUUAAAGGUUUCAGGAUUCAAGUCAAAUAGAAUUGCAGGGAAGUAAUGGAACAAGAUACUUUUGGUACUUUGAGGAUUCAGGGCUGGUUCAGUGGGUUCAGAAACUUUGAGUUGCAAGUUCAGUCUCACAGGUUAAGGAUCAGAUUUUUGUUAAUUUGAGAAGCUCAGGUGGUGAUGAUCUAGGUUAAGAGAAGGUCACAAGGAUCUUGUAGCAGCAAGGAUUAUUUUCUGCAUAAACGGAUCAAGGCUGUCACAUAUGGCGUUGAGUGACAUAAUUCGAUGAAACGGGAAGAGGCAGCUAGAGCAAAGUCAAGGUACAUAAAAUUGUAGGAUCUGGUCAAGUGUAGGAGCUCAGAGCCGAUAAUGGAAGCAAUUGAGGAAACAGCAGAGGUUCUGUGUUAGUUCAAUUUCAAGAGUAAAAGUCAAGCUCAUUGGGACUUGGGAGCAUGGAAUGAGAAGCUUAUGUUUGUAAGGAGAAGGCGUUUGAGGCAGAUUGCUUUAGAGGUAUCAAGUAUCAGCAUGAGUUUAAGAAAUCAGACAUGUGUGUUCAGGUUGAUGUCCUCUUAAGGUUCAUGUCCUCUGGUUUGUUAAUUGACACACAUGGACUGAGUACUGACACGAGGAGUGGUGCAGUAAGAUGGUGUAGCAUUCAGAGGCUAAGAGAAGUUGCAUUCCAAGAUAUUAAGGCAAGAAUCAAGGCGCCAUACUGGUAGUAAAAUCAGUGGAAACGAAAUCAAGAAGAGGAAUCUGGUUUCAGGUUUAUUUGGCUUUAUCAUGAGUCAAAUAAAAGGUAGCUUGGGUGAGGUACUGUGAGCGAAAGAGGCAAGCUCGUGGUAGAGGUUUUAAUUGUCUCACUCAAGGCGUUUCUGCAGACGGUUAGAAGUAAUGAUUUCUUAAAGAGAAAGACUGAUAGAAUAUCAGUUACAAGGAGCCAAAGAGAAGAAACAAGUUUCUGGUCAUGGCUCAAGAAAAAUAAAUCUAAAGACCUGGUUAUGGUCUGGACAAGGAGGCUACAAAUUCAAGACUUUGUAAAACGUCUCAGUUUUGGCUCAGGUUCUGUUUUUGGGAAGUUUCAGAAUUUUUUUUUAUUAAAGACAUAUUGAGGUUUCUUCAGUGAUUAAGAUUGUUGGAGCGUAUGAGACAAGUGCAGAGGCCACAGGUUCUGAUAGGUUAAAUUCAGAAGAGUUUCACAGGGUUUAAAGUGUUAUGUGAGGAUGUGUUGUUGACAGAGACUAUAACAUGUUGGAGCACAGUCAGUUUUGUGAUACAAUAUCAGAUUGGGAAGCUUGGAAGAAGCUUACAACACUUGCUGGUUCUGGUACUAGUGACUAAAGUUGAAUGGCUGCAUAAUGAAGAUAUAUAUAUUUUUUUUGAUAAGGUCUGGAAUAUUUUUCAGAAGCAAGAAGCCAUGUUUACAGUCAGCUACACAAAGCAGUUAAAGGAAUCAAAGAAGAAAGUGCAGGAUGGUUAUAGGUCUGAGAAGUGAAGCUAUGUGUGAAGAAACACAUCGUGGUUUUGAAAGUUUAUUGUUUCAGGUAGAGCAGUGUCAUGUUUCAGACAGUGUUCUCAGGUCUACUUCAGUUUGAAAAGGUUUCAAAGGUUCUGCGGAUGAGCUUUCAAGAGCUACAGAGAUUCAGGUUGGGUUUUGUGCAGUAAGAAGAGUAAAAGAGAGCCAAGUCAGUGUCAGCAGGUUGAAGCUCAACAAGUUAUGGUCAGAUGGAGUAAAAGGGGUUCAGCUUGUGGUCAGAGAUGUGAAGAGGAUGUCGGUAAUUUCAGUAUAGGUUCUCCACAGAAAGCAUGGACUACAAGGACAUCAAAGCAGAGUCAAUACAGGUAUGAUAAAUCAAUAUAUAAAAUACUUGUGAGGUGGUCUUUUGCAGGUAUUCGUAGGGACUAGAGAGAACAGUUCAAGGUGGAGCUGUUUGAGUCAAUUACCAAUCUGAACAAGUUCAAAGAGUUCUCUAAGAGUAGCUACAAGGAGACAAAGAGCAAGUAUUGCUGGUACUGUCACAAGAGAGCACAAGAAGGUUUGAGCUACUGAGAAAUGAAGUUCUUGGUAACGUCUGGAACAUGCAGGGGCGUUUGUAUACCAAGGUCUGGUAAGGUUCGCAGGUCAGCGAAGCACAGGUUCUUUGCUACAGUAAAGGUGCCUUAAGAGUAGUCACAGGUUUUGUGACUAUGAGACAGGGAUAAAGAAGUCAGCAGGUGGUCAGAUUGUUGUCUGAAGUUCUGUUGAGGCAGAUUUGUUUGAAUAGGGUUUGAGCAGAGAGUUUCUACAUCGAAAGUCUUUUUAACCGGGUUGAGUUAGGCGGCGUGUUCUCCUAGUCAAAGCAGCGGUGCAGAGUGAUGUUCAGGUUGAAAGUACAUACAGAUUGGUGUAGAGGAAAACUUCAGGAUAAGCAGUGAGUAUCUACUAGCUGUUGAGGUUGUCUACAAGGGUUUUUUGAGUCAAAGUGCUUCUGGUUUGAGGCAGCGAUGAUUCAAGUUCUGCAGGAGUUUCAAGCAAGCAUUGUUUCAGGUUUUGGCAGAUUAUUUGAAGACCGUAAUUGCAGUAACAAGUCAAGCAUCAUAAGCUGAUCUAUACUAGUCAAAAGAGAAAGCUUAUGGAGUGUAUGUUAAGUUGCUGGUGAGUGGUUUUCUCAAGUUUCCAGGCCAAUGGAAGAUCAAUGAACAAGUUUCGCGUGACACAAGUCUGUGGAGUGCUGGGAAAAGAAACUUAAGCAGGCAUGUGUGUAUUAUUGGCACAGGAAUGGCAUUGUGAUUCCCAUCACAACAAAGUUACAUGUCUGGUUCAUUGAUGUUGAUUAAGUGGUUGAAGACUGGGAGUUUUAGAUACUGACUAUAUAUAAGUCUAUACUUAUUUGGUUUAUGAAAUUAUUUUGCUAUCCUUAAUCACUCUCAGGAAUAUAUAUUUUAUCCUA